RNAcentral lists this ribosomal RNA (527 nucleotides) under Junonia orithya. Its description in RNAcentral is "partial 16S ribosomal RNA". The stretch from base 395 to 527 matches the Rfam family "Bacterial large subunit ribosomal RNA", at positions 2473 to 2606 of the family's 2925-position model. Lineage: Eukaryota; Metazoa; Arthropoda; Insecta; Lepidoptera; Nymphalidae. The record is from RNAcentral.
AAAAACAUGUCUUUUUGAUAAUAAUUUAAAGUCUAAUCUGCCCACUGAUAAUAUAUUAAAGGGCUGCAGUAUAUUGACUGUACAAAGGUAGCAUAAUCAUUAGUCUUUUAAUUGAAGACUUGUAUGAAAGAUUUGAUGAAAUAUAAACUGUCUCUAAUUUAUGUUUAGAAAUUAAUUUUUUAGUUAAAAAGCUAAAAUAAUAUUAAAAGACGAGAAGACCCUAUAGAGUUUUAUAUUUUAUUUAAUUAAUAUUAAAUAUAUAAUUAAAUAUAUUAAUUAAAUAAAAUAUUGUGUUGGGGUGAUAGAAAAAUUUAAUAAACUUUUUUUAAAAUUAAACAUAAAUAAGUGAUUAGUUGAUCCAUUAAUAAUGAUUAAAAGAAAAAAUUACCUUAGGGAUAACAGCGUAAUAUUUUUUUUUAGUACAUAUAAAAAAAAAAGUUUGCGACCUCGAUGUUGGAUUAAGAUAAAAUUUAAAUGCAAAAGUUUAAAAUUUUGAUCUGUUCGAUCAUUAAAAUCUUACAUGAUCU